RNAcentral lists this ribosomal RNA (468 nucleotides) under uncultured bacterium. Its description in RNAcentral is "partial 16S ribosomal RNA". It matches the Rfam family "Bacterial small subunit ribosomal RNA", at positions 28 to 507 of the family's 1533-position model. The record is from RNAcentral.
GACGAACGCUGGCGGCGUGCUUAACACAUGCAAGUCGAACGGAAAGGCCCUGCUUUUGUGGGGUGCUCGAGUGGCGAACGGGUGAGUAACACGUGAGUAACCUGCCCUUGACUUUGGGAUAACCUCAGGAAACUGGGGCUAAUACCGGAUAGGAGCUCCUGCUGCAUGGUGGGGGUUGGAAAGUUUCGGCGGUUGGGGAUGGACUCGCGGCUUAUCAGCUUGUUGGUGGGGUAGUGGCUUACCAAGGCUUUGACGGGUAGCCGGCCUGAGAGGGUGACCGGCCACAUUGGGACUGAGAUACGGCCCAGACUCCUACGGGAGGCAGCAGUGGGGAAUAUUGCACAAUGGGCGGAAGCCUGAUGCAGCAACGCCGCGUGCUGGAUGACGGCCUUCGGGUUGUAAACCGCUUUCGCCUGUGACGAAGCGUGAGUGACGGUAAUGGGUAAAGAAGCACCGGCUAACUACGUG